UGUCGUCACUAAUAUAUUUUUCAAUUUUUUUUCAUUAAUUUGGGCUUGGAUAUUGUUUGCUAUUGCAGGUUUGUUGUGGGUUAUAAACUUUAGGGCUAGCUCGGUGGCCCUUUUGAAUCUUUUUAUCUGAAAUUACAUUUUGAAUGGGCUUUUUCUCCCAUCCUUUAUUUCCAAACAAAAUUAAAACAAAGAAAGUGGGAGAAAUCCUGCCUCUUCAGCCUCGCUUCUCGGUUGCUUACAAAUGUCCAAGCAGUCUUAGAGACAAUUUCAGCUUAAAUCAUUUCACAUUAAAAAAAAAAAAAUCAAAUCAUCAAAUAUAUAGAUGAGUAUAAGCUGUAAACGGUUUCUUCUUUAAAAACACUAAUAGGAAGCUAACUGCAUUGACUUUGAUAAAGCUUUAAAGCAUUCAUAAUCACAUAGCUCCCCAUUUGCACAUGAGAGGUCAUAGGGAUAGUCAUGAAUUUCCUAUCAGACAAGAAGCAUUUUAAAUGAGACUACAUGCAUCUACCAAAAAAUGAGAGGACAUGCGGAUGACUGCUUAUAAGUUAUGAGUGUGCAAACAUCCCAUUAAAUCUGCAAAAAAAUGCAGGUCUUUUCCACCAUCCCAAACCCCACAUGAUGUUGGUGCCAUAGUUAGCGAUCCAAGCUGCAAAUUGGUUGCCUUCCUCGAAAGAAAAGAGAGUGAGCUGCAGCAAAUGGAAUGAGGUCUGCUAAAGAAUGGGAGUCCAUUGGUUGGUCUUUUUAGAAGGAUUUCUCAAAGAGUUUUGGGUGUUAUAAUGGUGGAGAUGCAAUGCAAAUCGUCGUUAUUAGUGAAAAAUGUCCUACAAAACACAUAAAAUACAUGUUUUCCAACAAAGAUACCAAUUUCUAGUGGGAGAACUUGUUUACCAAAAGGCUCUCUUAAUUGAUUUGGGAUAUGUUUGUUCAUAUGAUGUUUUGGAAAGCUUGUGUAUUAGUAUUUAGUAGCUGACUUUAAUCAUAGCAGAAGCUGAAAUCUUCAAGCUUUCUGAGAUGUUUUAGUGUACCUUUGAGAUGCUAUCAGAAAAUAGAUUUUCCGGAUAGGUUCGUUUGGCAACUCAGUCAUUGUUGGGCAUUCACAAAUCACAAUGCCUUUAACUAAACGCCUUAUUAGGAAGAAAAAUAAACCUUUUUAGUGAAAUCUUGCAUGGAGAUUGGUGCUGCUGGCAAUGACCACCACAUAUGGCAUUCUUCUCUUGAUCUGAUGAAGAAGUCAUUCAUCCUUAAAAUGAGGCUAAAAGCCAUGUCAUUAUAGAACUUAAAACCUCAAAAUCUUUCUAGAGUAUUGUCGAGAUGAAGUUGGGGUGACUGCAAAACUUCAUAUUCAGAAAAAGAAUAUAUGUAGGUUAUAGGAUCUCAAAAUUAGUUGAAUAUAGAUUAUAGGAACACCAUGGCAAACUUUUGCGUUCGAAAUUUGCUUAACAGGGCAAAGGAGAUUCAUCAAAAAGAUAGAGAGAGAGGGAGUCAAAUCAAACAUUGUUGGAGAGAAACAUAUCAUGCUGCUGAUAUGUUGGUCUCUAAACCAAAGCAAGUCUGAGAGUAAAUUUAUAAAAAUUGUCUGUGCAGUAUCGUGCAGAAAUACCAGAGAACUAGAAGCCUCUUCCCUCAAUCUCUACUUCCAAGUCAAUCCUACUGCAUAUGCAAUACCUAUAAACUUGGCCUCCAGUAAAAGGCUUUGUAUUUGCAAAGUAUCAAAGUUUUGCUG
RNAcentral lists this long non-coding RNA (1723 nucleotides) under Phoenix dactylifera (date palm). RNAcentral describes it as "long non-coding RNA (PDAC_LNC014026)". The record is from RNAcentral. Lineage: Eukaryota; Viridiplantae; Streptophyta; Magnoliopsida; Arecales; Arecaceae.